Molecule: ribosomal RNA, 381 nt
Filed under: uncultured eukaryote
Lineage: Eukaryota
Description: partial 18S ribosomal RNA
Rfam family: Eukaryotic small subunit ribosomal RNA
Source: RNAcentral
CAAUAGCGUAUAUUAAAGCUGUUGCGGCUAAAAAGCUCGUAGUUGGAUUUCUGUCAAGGACAACUGGUCCGCCCCUCGGGUGAGCACAUAGUUUGGUCUUGGCAUCUUGCUGGAAACUGUUGCUGCACUUGGUUGUGUGGCGCAGUGUCCAGCACUUUCACUUUGAGGAAAUUGGAGUGUUUCAAGCAGGCACAUGCCUUUGGACACAGUAGCAUGGAAUAAUUAGAUUGGGCUUUUGCUCCAACUUGUCGGUUUCUGGAGCUGAGGUGAGAAUUAAUGGGGAUUGUUGGGGGCAUCCGAAUUUAGCCGUCAGAGGUGAAAUUCUUGGAUCUGCUAAAGACGGACAACUGCGAAAGCGUUUGCCCAGGAUGUUUUCAUUGA